Small nucleolar RNA from Gossypium raimondii (Peruvian cotton), 106 nucleotides. It matches the Rfam family "Plant small nucleolar RNA R71". Rfam says of the family: R71 is a member of the C/D box family of snoRNAs containing the C (UGAUGA) and D (CUGA) box motifs. Multiple nearly identical copies of this snoRNA have been identified in Arabidopsis, and it is thought to function as a 2'-O-ribose methylation guide for 18S ribosomal RNA. The record is from Rfam. NCBI's taxonomy places the organism in Eukaryota, Viridiplantae, Streptophyta, Magnoliopsida, Malvales, Malvaceae.
AGAUACAAUGAGGACACUUAUGAAGCAAUUCUUUGAAUUUUUCUCAUGCCUCGUAUAAGGACUUAUCAUCAAAUUGUUGGAAUGUAAUUAUCUUAUUUAGUAACUU